UGAGACACGGACCAGACUCCUACGGGAGGCAGCAGUGGGGAAUCUUAGACAAUGGGCGAAAGCCUGAUCUAGCCAUGCCGCGUGAGUGAUGAAGGCCUUAGGGUUGUAAAGCUCUUUUACCAGGGAUGAUAAUGACAGUACCUGGUAAAGAAGCCCCGGCUAACUUCGUGCCAGUAGCCGCGGUAAUACGGAGGGUGCAAGCGUUAAUCGGAAUUACUGGGCGUAAAGCGCGCGUAGGCGGUGACUCAAGUCAGAGGUGAAAGCCCGGAGCUCAACUCCGGAACUGCCUUUGAAACUAGGUGACUAGAAUCUUGGAGAGGCGAGUGGAAUUCCGAGUGUAGAGGUGAAAUUC
RNAcentral lists this ribosomal RNA (352 nucleotides) under Pseudo-nitzschia fraudulenta. RNAcentral's name for it is "partial Bacterial small subunit ribosomal RNA". It matches the Rfam family "Bacterial small subunit ribosomal RNA", at positions 320 to 689 of the family's 1533-position model. Lineage: Eukaryota; Bacillariophyta; Bacillariophyceae; Bacillariales; Bacillariaceae. The record is from RNAcentral.